GUGAGGAAUAUUGGUCAAUGGGCGCAAGCCUGAACCAGCCAUGCCGCGUGCAGGAAGACGGUCCUAUGGAUUGUAAACUGCUUUUAUUUGGGAAUAAACUCCGGUACGUGUACCGGCCUGAAGGUACCAAAUGAAUAAGCACCGGCUAACUCCGUGCCAGCAGCCGCGGUAAUACGGAGGGUGCAAGCGUUAUCCGGAAUCAUUGGGUUUAAAGGGUCCGCAGGCGGUAUUAUAAGUCAGUGGUGAAAGCCUACAGCUCAACUGUAGAACUGCCAUUGAUACUGUAGGACUUGAAUUCGAUCGAAGUGGGCGGAAUGUGACAUGUAGCGGUGAAAUGCUUAGAUAUGUCACAGAACACCGAUAGCGAAGGCAGCUCACUAGGUCUGGAUUGACGCUCAGGGACGAAAGCGUGGGGAGCAAACAGGAUUAGAUACCCUAGUAGUCC
This 445-nucleotide ribosomal RNA is filed under the name uncultured bacterium. RNAcentral describes it as "bacterial SSU rRNA". It matches the Rfam family "Bacterial small subunit ribosomal RNA", at positions 354 to 796 of the family's 1533-position model. The record is from RNAcentral.